GAUGAACGCUAGCGACAGGCUUAACACAUGCAAGUCGAGCGAAGCGCCUUACUUGAUUUCUUCGGGAUGAAAGUAUUGUGACUGAGCGGCGGACGGGUGAGUAACGCGUGGAUAACCUGCCUCAUACAGGGGGAUAACAGUUAGAAAUGACUGCUAAUACCGCAUAAGACCACAGCACCGCAUGGUGCAGGGGUAAAAACUCCGGUGGUAUGAGAUGGAUCCGCGUCUGAUUAGCUAGUUGGUAAGGUAACGGCUUACCAAGGCAACGAUCAGUAGCCGACCUGAGAGGGUGACCGGCCACAUUGGGACUGAGACACGGCCCAA
This 324-nucleotide ribosomal RNA is filed under the name uncultured bacterium. Its description in RNAcentral is "bacterial SSU rRNA". It matches the Rfam family "Bacterial small subunit ribosomal RNA", at positions 28 to 334 of the family's 1533-position model. The record is from RNAcentral.